This 797-nucleotide long non-coding RNA is filed under the name Marmota monax (woodchuck). Lineage: Eukaryota; Metazoa; Chordata; Mammalia; Rodentia; Sciuridae. The record is from RNAcentral.
CCCUUUUCUCCUCCCCCUUUCCUUUCUUUUGCCUCCCCUCCCUCUCGCCCGGUGUCGGCGGCACUUCCCCCGCUUCCUCCUCCCUCUCCAAUCGGGAGGGAGGGAAGGAGCCACCGGCUCUUUCCUGCCUGCCUGCAAACUUCAGCGGGACUCCCGGCUCUCGCCGCCGCGGCCACUGCCGCCCGCUCGGGAGCUGCUCCGGGAACUUCCUUUCGCUGCGCGGCAGGGCAAUCCCGGCUGGUGGGAGGACGCCACCAGGCGCCGGGCGGCUUGGACCCCCGAUCCCUUUCCUGGGCUACUGCCCGCCUGCGAGUCCGCUAGUCUGUCGGUGCGUCCUUCCUGCCCGGCCUCUCCCCCGCCGGCAGGAGCCGCGGAGCUUCCCCUCGGCGCCCAGCCGCUGCCUGGGACCUUUCUUUGUGUUGCAUGCAGACUCGCGCCCCGCGCCGACGGGGGGCGGAUUAAGGGCUGCGCUCGCCCGGGGCGGCCCGCGGCGCCGCCGGCCGGAGCCGCCCCCCGCCUCGCGCCAUGCCCUUCCACCAGAGGACCGUGGAGCCCGCGCGGUUGCGCCGGCCCGAGUUGGUGGAGGCCGGGGCCGCGGGCGCGCCACUCUUCCGCUCGCUGGAGCAGGUCAGCUCGCAUGCCCUAGUCUGCCUGCUGGCGCAGCUGGCCGACCUGUCGCGCUGCGCCGGAGACAUCUUCGGCGAGCUCGAGGGCCAGGCAGUCGCGUUGGGCCAACGCACAGCUGAGUUGCACCGCCGCCUGGAAGCCCUGCACGCCGCCGCCGCGCGCCUGGACCA